CCUACGGGAGGCAGCAGUGAGGAAUAUUGGUCAAUGGACGCAAGUCUGAACCAGCCAUUCCGCGUGCAGGAAGACGGCUCUAUGAGUUGUAAACUGCUUUUGUACGAGGGUAAACUCGGAUCCGUGUAUCCGUUUGAAAGUAUCGUACGAAUAAGGAUCGGCGAACUCCGUGCCAGCAGCCGCGGUAAUACGUAGGAUUCAAGCGUUAUCCGGAUUUAUUGGGUUUAAAGGGUGCGUAGGCGGUCGGAUAAGUUAGAGGUGAAAUCCCGGGGCUCAACUUCGGAAUUGCCUCUGAUACUGUUCGGCUAGAGAGUAGUAGCGGUAGGCGGAAUGUAUGGUGUAGCGGUGAAAUGCGUAGAGAUCAUACAGAACACCGAUUGCGAAGGCAGCUUACCAAGCUACUUCUGACGUUGAGGCACGAAAGCGUGGGGAGCAAACAGGAUUAGAUACCCGUGUAGUC
RNAcentral lists this ribosomal RNA (460 nucleotides) under uncultured bacterium. Its description in RNAcentral is "partial 16S ribosomal RNA". It matches the Rfam family "Bacterial small subunit ribosomal RNA", at positions 338 to 795 of the family's 1533-position model. The record is from RNAcentral.